GACGAACGCUGGCGGCGUGCUUAACACAUGCAAGUCGAACGGUGAAGCGCCUUCCUUUUUGGUGGGUGUGGAUGAGUGGCGAACGGGUGAGUAACACGUGAGUAACCUGCCCCCUUCUUCUGGAUAACCGCAUGAAAGUGUGGCUAAUACGGGAUAUUCUGGGUCUGUCGCAUGAUGGGUCUGGGAAAGAUAUUGUUUCGGUGGGGGAUGGGCUCGCGGCCUAUCAGCUUGUUGGUGGGGUGAUGGCCUACCAAGGCGGUGACGGGUAGCCGGCCUGAGAGGGUGGACGGUCCCACUGGGACUGAGACACGGCCCAGACUCCUACGGGAGGCAGCAGUGGGGAAUAUUGCACAAUGGGCGCAAGCCUGAUGCAGCGACGCCGCGUGAGGGAUGGAGGCCUUCGGGUUGUGAACCUCUUUCGCCAGUGAAGCAGGCCUGCCUCGUUUGUGGGUGGGUUGACGGUAGCUGGAUAAGAAGCGCCGGCUAACUACGUG
This 494-nucleotide ribosomal RNA is filed under the name uncultured bacterium. RNAcentral's name for it is "partial 16S ribosomal RNA". It matches the Rfam family "Bacterial small subunit ribosomal RNA", at positions 28 to 507 of the family's 1533-position model. The record is from RNAcentral.